Molecule: ribosomal RNA, 253 nt
Filed under: uncultured bacterium
Lineage: Bacteria
Description: partial 16S ribosomal RNA
Rfam family: Bacterial small subunit ribosomal RNA
Source: RNAcentral
UACAGAGGUGGCAAGCGUUGUUCGGAAUUACUGGGCGUAAAGGGCGCGUAGGCGGCCUUCUUAGUCGGACGUGAAAUCCCCGGGCUUAACUCGGGAACUGCGUCCGAUACUGGAAGGCUGGAGUUCGGGAGAGGAAUGUGGAAUUCCAGGUGUAGCGGUGAAAUGCGUAGAUAUCUGGAGGAACACCGGUGGCGAAGGCGGCAUUCUGGACCGAAACUGACGCUGAUGCGCGAAAGCCAGGGGAGCAAACGGG